Molecule: long non-coding RNA, 358 nt
Filed under: Phoenix dactylifera (date palm)
Lineage: Eukaryota; Viridiplantae; Streptophyta; Magnoliopsida; Arecales; Arecaceae
Description: long non-coding RNA (PDAC_LNC022203)
Source: RNAcentral
UAUGCUUCUGAAUCCAGAAUUGGUAGGAUAUGAAUUGAAUAUCUAAAUUCAUGCCCCUUCCAGAUAUCGAUGCAGGUUCAGAAUUUUUUUAAACUGAUUUUUACCUUUUUAAAUAUUGAAUGGUCCAGAUACAGAUAUGUAUAUAUCAUCCACAAACAGAUAAGGAUAUCCAGAUAUCUGGAUGCGGAUAUGGAUGAGGACACUGUCAUCAGCAUAUUACAAGCAUGGUUCUCUUUUUUUUAAAUCUUAGUUUCAUAUAAAAGUUUUACUGUGGUCAUUUCAUUAGUUUCAUAUUGUUUGAUUUAGAGACUAAUUUUUUCAACAGAUCCUUGGUUUGUCCCAUUAUUUUUAAUUUUAU